CCAACCACAGCCUCAGCACUAAUAAAUGUAUUUACAAGUGGUUUUUGCUCACUCCAUUGAAUCAGCGUGCCCAGGGGCGUGUGAAGAGUUUGAGUCAUCUCUGAGUCAGCUCCUCUGAGCACACAGAACCCGAGGCCAGCAGCUGCAGAAAGGGAAUUUUUCUGGAUGAUGGAGAAGGAACCAUCCUGGCACGAAAGGUCUCAGGCUCCAGGCACGACCCUGAGGAGGAGCCAGCAUUCCUCAGCCUCCCCCUCUGCAGGCACCUGUGAUGGAGCAGCAGGACCUGGGAUCCCUCCUUGUGCUGCUGAGCCAGAAAACAUCACAGUGUGAAAAAUAUGUAUUUUAUGACUGGCUUUUUGCAAAUAUUCAAAUGAAUAUUCUAUGUGUUGUGUUAGAAAGUGAUGCCGUAUUAAUUUUCUUAAGUAGUGUGUUAAAUAUAGUUUUAGGUUAUAACAAAAUGUUAAAAUAGAAACUAUGCUAUGUAGGAUACUUUUUUUUUCUAAAGAAUGGACUCACACCAAGAUAGCAGCCACAGAACACAUGAAUCUUUCAGAGAAAGAGAAUUUAUUGCUCCAUUAUCAGAAGAAAUGAACUUUUUACUGCUUCACUCUGGCAGGAUGACGCCGUCAGGAUUCAGAGGAAGAAGCUGACACUGAGCAGACAGAAUCCUGUGUUUGAAUGGAAUUUAUGCAUCAUGGAUGAA
This is a long non-coding RNA of Zonotrichia albicollis (white-throated sparrow), 703 nucleotides long. RefSeq lists it as uncharacterized. NCBI's taxonomy places the organism in Eukaryota, Metazoa, Chordata, Aves, Passeriformes, Passerellidae. The record is from RefSeq and is a predicted model, not a curated record.